Parelaphostrongylus tenuis is the source of this 71-nucleotide non-coding RNA. The record is from the annotation of a GenBank genome assembly. Lineage: Eukaryota; Metazoa; Nematoda; Chromadorea; Rhabditida; Metastrongylidae.
ACCCUGGUGGUGUAGUGGUAGCACACGUCCCCGGUAUGGAUGAAACGUGGGUUAAAGUCCCGUCUGAGGUC